ACGAGAAAUGCUCAAUGGCGACCAUGUCGACAAAAACUCAUCAACCCGAAUAGUAUAGUGUUGCGUCAAUGAAGAUAAUACUGCCUCUUUUUGGCACGCAGCAUCCAUUCAAUGAAAAACAGCAGUAGCAACAAUAACAACAACAAUUGGUGAACCCUACGCUACCAGCUGAAGGUUAUACGAAAGCGGACCGCUAUCACUGAAUUUGAUGGAAACAAGGUUAAAAAAAAAAAGAAGCGUGAAUAACAUCAACGAUGAGGAACGAAAGGUGUGAGUAAGUGAAGGGUGAGAAGCCAACGAGCUCGGCCGAAAAGCGCCAUCACGUUGACGAUUCAUUGUCUCGUACCUGAGUAAGUGAGCAAGGUUUAAUGAGUCGGGCCAGUGAACUCUCGAGAGGCACAAUAACGCCAGGAUUAGAAGCGUAGUCUGCAGGCGGCCGUUUCGUCAAGGAGAAUGAUUUUCGUCAAGGUUACGACCCUUCUGCCCAUUGGCGUGCUGCUUGCCACUUCGCACCCGGGUCACACCACGAGGACGUUUCUGCAUCUUCAGACCACACUGAUGUUGCGAUCAAAGCACGAAUCCGGAUUCAUGGCACUCCGAGACGAGCGUUUGAAUACAGCUUCUUAUUGAGUUGCUUUGGAGAAGCUUGCUUUUGCGUUUGGGACUUCUAUGUUAUCUGAUGAUAACGACCAACACUAAUUGGUGCCGUUCGACACACACAACUGUUCAUUUGCUUUGUACUGAAGCGGUAAUGGCUGAAGCCGGCCUUGUUCCCAAGAGAACUUCACUUGCCAUCCAAAUGGACCGUGCGUCCUUAAAGCGCUUAUUCAACUGAAAUUCCAUUUUAACAAAACGUCGUCAGGUGAACUUCUCUAAAAUUGUAUUGAUCGAUAUAGACGCGAACGGAAGUCGACUUCUCGUCACAGUCGCAGAAAAAGGAACGACUGCUGUUAACUAGCUAAACUACGAUAAGAAAAUAGCCAUUGGCUGGUGUGUCGUUCUACAGGGCGAGCUAAAAUAUGUUUUGUCUAAAGAAUAGAAAGGAACUUACAUUCACUUUAGUUUUUCCUCCAUAGCGCUGUACGAGAAGUGGUCAUACAUUCAAGUCAACCUCUGCAACAUUAUCGCAUCUAUGACAAUAUAAUUUGAAAAAAAAAGUAUCACAUAAACGCCAAGUUUGGAUUUCGGAAUGAUGUUAUUGAGUAUUGUUUUUGUCUUAUAGUGAUAUGUAUAUACACACGAACGAUUACAUGAAAUGUCGCAAUGUGCCAGUCCCUAUCGAGUAUAAUGUUGAUGCCGGCUCAAGCACAAACUCUACCUUAUGGAGAACUUCCUGUGCUUCCUGUCUAUGGACGUUUAGCAUUAGGUGAAUUAUCGUUUAUGUCUUAUCUAGUGUAUCUAGAUGGAUUCAUGUAAAUCCAUCUACAGGUAGCAACAAACCAUUAUCACGUCAGCGGUCCUUUAAGGCCUUAUUCCUUCAACUUCCGUUUGUAUAGACAAAGAAUGGAAUCAUUCAAUUAUAUUUACAUUGAAGCUAAUAGAAUUAUAAUGAUGAUAUGGCGCUUUGUCCGUACCUACCACAUUCGCUCGUCAAAGAAAACAAUAAAACUAAUGUAGUAUAGUCCUGUUCUAACAUCCAAACAUAGAAAUGGGUCAGACUUAAACAGGGCAGAGCCAACAUUACUGUCCAAGUUAUCUAAUAGGAGCACGGGGAUUGUUGCAAACGGCGCUAUUUUCUUAGUUGUAUCGUUCUGGGGUUGUCUCGGACUCGCGACCACUACAGAAGCUAUAUAUAACAGCUGAGUACUAAUAUGCCAACACUAAUGAAAUUCAUAAUCCAACCAAU
Varroa destructor (honeybee mite) is the source of this 1846-nucleotide long non-coding RNA. NCBI's taxonomy places the organism in Eukaryota, Metazoa, Arthropoda, Arachnida, Mesostigmata, Varroidae. The record is from RefSeq and is a predicted model, not a curated record.